CCAGUCAUACACGUGGACCUAACUGCACCAAAAGCUUUUCUAAGGAUACUUGCAAGAAGAAAGUUUUCCCUAGUGGGUAAGUGUAUUCUAAUUCUUUUUGGUUAACUUUUUCUUUAAAACAAUUUUUUUUAUUUUAAUCAUUUGAGUAAAAUGGGAUUGGGUUUUCAAAUAGUGAAAUAGGUAUCUUGUAUUUUGUUCACUUACCUUUUCUAAAAAAUUAACUCUGUGGCCAGCUAAUUUUUAAGUUAGUUAAAGUACAAUGCAAAUACCAUAAAAAUCUUUGGAAACUGGUAUGCAGUUUAUAAAAUGUAAUUUUAGAACUGCUUUAAGUUGGGUGAUAAAGUAGAUCUAAUUUGGAGUAAGUUUUCAAGGUUCAAAACAAUUUAAACAGGAUAUUUAAGUUCUAUAACAAGCUAAUAACACUUGAAAUGUAGUCUGAAAGGUAAUUUUGUUAAUUGAUUUGCCAAGUAUUUGCUAAUUGGAAGCCAGAAGAAAAAAAUGUUUUGCCACGUGGAUAUGAAGAUUUCCUCUAAAAAGGUACAUGUAUGAAUCAAAUUGCCCUGUUUAAUUCUCAUUCAUAUGCAGUCUAAUCUUGAUUUUUUUUUUGAGUAUGUCUUUGGGAACCUCCAGGUAAAGGAAGAGCCACCAAUUUCUUUGACAGUAUUAGAUGGUUAAGAUUGUCUUGUGAAAAAGAUUUUUUUUCUACUUUUAAGGUGUAAAUGUGCUUGUGAAUGAAAUUCGCAGGUUUGAGAUAAACUCAUUUUCUCUUCCCCAUUAGGAAUUAUGCUGAAUUUUGAAUGUUUUCUAGCCCUUAAAAGUUUGAGGUGUUCUUCUAAUUAUUUAUUUCAAAUUUAGCAGGAAUAAAGAACAUCACCUUGUGAGACUGAAGAUUGUGACCAGUCAGAAUAAUGUCAAAGUGCUUACAGUGCAGGUAGUGAUAUGUGCAUCUACUGCAGUGAAGGCACUUGUAGCAUUAUGGUGACAGCUGCCUCGGGAAGCCAAGGUGGGCUUUAAAGUGCAGGGCCUGCUGGUGUUGAGUGCUUUUUGUUCUAAGGUGCAUCUAGUGCAGAUAGUGAAGUAGAUUAGCAUCUACUGCCCUAAGUGCUCCUUCUGGCAUAAGAAGUUAUGUUUUCAUCCAGUAAUCCAAGCCAAGCAAGUAUAUAGGUGUUUUAAUACUUUUUGUUUGCAGUCCUCUGUUAGUUUUGCAUAGUUGCACUACAAGAAGAAUGUAGUUGUGCAAAUCUAUGCAAAACUGAUGGUGGCCUGCUAUUUCCUUCAAGUGAUUUUUACUAAUUUUGUGUACUUUUAUUGUGUCGAUGUAGAAUCUGCCUGGUGUAUCUGAUGUGACAGCUUCUGUAGCACUAAAGUGCUUAUAGUGCAGGUAGUGUUUAGUUAUCUACUGCAUUAUGAGCACUUAAAGUACUGCUAGCUGUAGAACUCCAGCCUCGGCCUGUCGCCCAGUCAAACUGUCCAGUUACUGAACACUCUUCUAUGGUUAGUUUUGCAGGUUUGCAUCCAGCUGUGUGAUAUUCUGCUGUGCAAAUCCAUGCAAAACUGACUGUGGUAGUGAAAAGUCUGUAGAAAAGUAAGGGAAAAUCAAACCCCUUUCUACACAGGUUGGGAUCGGUUGCAAUGCUGUGUUUCUGUAUGGUAUUGCACUUGUCCCGGCCUGUUGAGUUUGGUGGGGAUUGUGACCAGAAGAUUUUGAAAAUUAAAUAUUACUGAAGAUGCGACUUCCACUUUAAACGUUCCAGAAAUGUAAAGUAUUUUUAAAACUUUUGUAAUUUUAAUUUUGAAAUUCAUCUAUACAACUUUUCUGUUUCUUAAACUGAAGUUUUGUCAUAAUUUUGUGCUAAAACAUUCUGAGGUUGCAUGUCAGGAUUAUAAGUUUUUACUAUAUUGGAAUAGAUUUAUUAAGUAUUUGAUUUUAAUCGUGUCUGUGAAGGAAAUUUAUUUUAAUAAACGUAUGAUAAUUUGUGAAGUUGGGAGAUGCCUUUUUGCUUUUUUAGAGUUGGUAUUUGCACUGUCUUCAUCCAAAAGUUAAUAAUUGCAUUGCUUGUGCAUUGUUUAUUUAAAUUUGGUGAAAAUACUCUGUUUAAAGCAAUGUAUUAAGAAAGUUGUGGGGUUUGGUUGCUUUUUAAGCAUGUUAAUUGACAUUUGGGGAGGGGAGGUUGUCUUGUUUCUAGUAAUCAAAUACUGUUUUACCGGUACUGGUGUUCUUAAUGUAUAACUGUUAACUGGUUACAUACUAGUUUUCUUAGUAAUUAUCUGUGCUGUAUAAACAGUUAGUGGUCCUUAGACUGUUGUUAACUUUCUGGAACUUAAAAAACAGGAGUUAAAAAGAAGACACACUGAUGCUAAGCAGAGUGCCAAGUAUGUGUGUGUGGACAUGUCUCAUGCCAAGAGUGUAGGCUGGGAGUCUGAAGUUAGGUUUUCUCUAAUGCUGUAAUACUAUUAGUACUUCUCCCUUCAUAAACCGGACUUUUGCAGCAUUGAUAGUUGGUCUAGGCAUAUGUGACUUCAAGUCAUUGGAGUGGAACCUAAGAAGUGGCAGUAACAGUAUUUUAUUCAACAUUUCUGCCUUUUCUUUCAUGUGUUUGUGUCUAGCCUGUGUUUUCACCUUGUAGAAGAAUGUGGGUUAACUUGAGAAUAAUCAGAUUUUAAAGGAUCCGUUGUUAAAAUUGGAUCCAAGCUAAAUU
Molecule: long non-coding RNA, 2699 nt
Filed under: Lynx pardinus (Iberian lynx)
Lineage: Eukaryota; Metazoa; Chordata; Mammalia; Carnivora; Felidae
Rfam family: mir-19 microRNA precursor family (bases 1488-1566)
Source: RNAcentral